UAUACAUUAAAUGUAUAAAUAAUAUUGGCAAAAUUUUUUUAAUUUACCCCUGGUGCUUUUUAAAAUUUAUUUUCUUUACUGUAUCCCUGUAUAAAAAAAAAAUCGAGGGUUCUUCAGUAAAGGGGCUGUUAAGCUAGCAGCAUAAUGUUCGGUAAACCCAAACAAACCCCGCGGCGCUCAGGAGAGGAAGAGUAUGACAGAAAAUAACGAGUUUACAGUUGGACUGGCGAAAUUGGAAUCGAAAUUGGAAAAUUUUUUUACUCUUCAAGUUCAUCCAAUGCUAGCAGUGUGGACGUGCGUCCGGAGACUGACGUUAGCUGGAUUUGCUAUUACUUUCAAUGGCGAACAGCGGAGCCGGGACUUUGGACCUCAGCAGCGGUGUUGUUAACGACUUUGCUGACCGGAUGUUCGGCGGUUGAACUCCUACUGGUGUCUCUCUGCCUCGCUGGCCACGCCGCCGUCUCCUGAGAUGGGAUCUCUGAUGCGGGCCCAGCUCAUAUUUACGGGGCUGGACUGUGACGGGAAGGAAGGAAGGAAGGGAGAGCAGUGGAAUGCAGUUUUCUCAGUGGGAGAAAUCAGACACCUUGAUGGAGGCAGACUACAUCUUGAAUACGACAGAAAACUGCCUCUCCAUGUUUGCUGUGGGAGAUGAAAAGAGAGAAAGAAGAGGAAGGAGAACAGGACUGGCACUGCAGGAGAGUCUAAACGGUUUAAUAGAGAAAGAGCCGGAGAGAGAAUAAAAAUAAAAAGGAGAGAAGAGGGACGGAGGAAGAGAAAGGUAAAAGAGAGUGGGAGUGAUAGAAAGAAAAUGGACAAAGACUGAGAGAGAGAGGAGAGAAGAACAGAGGAUACGAAGAACAGGAGGGAGACAAAGAAAGAAACGAGUGGGGAAUAGAAAAGAAAGAAAGCAAGAGGGAAAUUGGGAGAUGGAGAGAAAGAGAAGGGCAGCAGUGAAUACCUAAUGGGGAGUGGUGGAGUCUAUUGAUCCGCUCGGCAGCACAGGCUGUUUCAUUUGGUCAUUCAAUUAUUCAGUCAUUUGGUUGAUGUUGUUUCCCCCUACAAGGGUUCAGGCCGCACACUCAGACCUCCCGUGCAGAGCCUCCGAGUCGCACUCGAAAACAUGAAAGUUACAGCUCCAUGGGAGAGUGAGAGAGCGACACGGGGCUGCAGACUGGAAAAAUUGGAGGCUUUAGCAGGUUUAGAUGUGUCUUUAUACACUAGUCCCCAAAUCGCUCCAAUUUAGAGGUUGUCACAUUUUCUCUUCUUCAUGCAUUUUUCAUUUUUUGUCUCCCAUUUUCAGGCUCCUCGCAUUCAUGUUGGAAAACGAGCAUGCAUCAGUUAUGAAUUGAAAAUCUGAAAAUCCCACUUUGCCCAGAAUCCAGUUGUGACUAAAAGCUUUCUAAUCCUGGUAUGCUAAAAGUACAACCUUAACAUAAAACGUCAGAAAUGGCUUGUAGAACUUUUUUUUUGCUUGAUUAAGGAACUUUUUUAUAAAAGUUUACUAAUCCAUGAAUAAUAAAUAUUAAUGGAAAAGUCUCCCGAUAUUCCUUAUUUUCAACAAAUCCCCAAAAGCAGCAAUGAAAGUGUUGUGUGAGUAUUCAAAGCCUGAUGUGAGACAUAGAGCUCCAUCGUAAUGUACUGUAUUUUGAUUUAAUCAGUGUUGGGUGUCCUGCUGUUUAACACCUAACAGAAUAAUAAACGUGUUGAUAGUAAUCCACAACUAAUGCAGUAUUUCCUUUUCUUUGAGUGGCAAAAUUAAAAUUAAACUGUACAUUUGUUAACUGU
This is a long non-coding RNA of Seriola aureovittata, 1785 nucleotides long. RefSeq lists it as uncharacterized. Lineage: Eukaryota; Metazoa; Chordata; Actinopteri; Carangiformes; Carangidae. The transcript is spliced from 3 exons. The record is from RefSeq and is a predicted model, not a curated record.